Molecule: ribosomal RNA, 253 nt
Filed under: uncultured bacterium
Lineage: Bacteria
Description: partial 16S ribosomal RNA
Rfam family: Bacterial small subunit ribosomal RNA
Source: RNAcentral
UACGGAGGGUGCGAGCGUUGUCCGGAAUUACUGGGCGUAAAGGGCGCGUAGGCGGACAGUUUAGUCAGAGGUGAAAGCCCAGGGCUCAACCUUGGAAUUGCCUUUGAUACUGGCUGUCUUGAGUUCGGGAGAGGUGAGUGGAAUGCCGAGUGUAGAGGUGAAAUUCGUAGAUAUCGGAAGGAACAUCAGUGGCGAAAGCGACUUCCUGGACCAAUACUGACGCUCAUGUGCGAAAGCGUGGGGAGCAAACAGG